This is a small nucleolar RNA of Heterocephalus glaber (naked mole-rat), 98 nucleotides long. NCBI's taxonomy places the organism in Eukaryota, Metazoa, Chordata, Mammalia, Rodentia, Bathyergidae. The record is from Ensembl.
ACCCUCUGGUGGUUCCUAAGUGUGAUGAAUAGGUUUUCGCUCCACCAUGCGAGAUGUGCUUCCUUGCCCCAUGUCACUGGCACAGUGCUUUUCUGACG